RNAcentral lists this RNase P RNA (560 nucleotides) under Parcubacteria group bacterium. RNAcentral's name for it is "RNase P RNA component class A". It matches the Rfam family "Bacterial RNase P class A". Rfam says of the family: Ribonuclease P (RNase P) is a ubiquitous endoribonuclease, found in archaea, bacteria and eukarya as well as chloroplasts and mitochondria. Its best characterised activity is the generation of mature 5'-ends of tRNAs by cleaving the 5'-leader elements of precursor-tRNAs. The record is from RNAcentral.
GAUAGCCGCUCCGCAGUUGCGGGGAGGAAAGUCCGAACACCCCCGGCCCUUUUGAGGGACUAACUGCAUUAUGUCUCUUCAGAUUUUACGAUUAGUGUAUUCCAGAGAAUGUAACGAAAGGUUGGUAACUCAAAAGGGUCGGGAAGCAGGUGAUGGGUAACGCCCACCGUCACGAUAGCAAUAUCGUUGAUAGGGAAAGUGCCACAGAGACAAUACUAACCGCCACUUCGUGGCGGCAAAAGGUGAAAAGUGUGCGGACAUAUUCUUCAAGGGAAUAUCACCGCAGUUUCCGGUAGAGCAAUUUGCCGGAAUGGCAAACCCCACCUGGUGCAAGGCCGUACUCCGAUGCGCAGCAUCGGUUCGCAAAACAGACGCGAAAAACCGCCUACGGCGGGUAACGCAAAACAGACGCAUAACACGACGAGGUGUUUCGCGUCAGUUUCGCGUCAGUUUCGCGCUGGUUUGGCGUACCGCUGUUGCGCAGCGGAGGGUGCCGCUUGAGUCCUCGAGUAAUCGCGGACCUAGAUAAAUGGCUAUCUCCAGACCUUUUGGGUACAAAA